ACGCCUGCUUUGAGUCAUUCAUCUCACCGUGCGCCGGUGUGCAUCAACGUGACUUCAGACGCUCCUCAUGAACGGCUCGGAGAAUAAGUUAUUGGGCCAGGCCUGCUUUAUUUUCCGCGUCGUUUGUGUUUCUGUAGGGCUCGUCGCCGUUACAGUGGGGUUUACACUGGAUGCCCGAUACUUCUUCGUUGCGUUGUUUUGUGCCGUUUUGUUGACAAUCACAUGCCCGUGUAACGCUCUGUGGAGUGUUGCCACUAAUUCCGUGAGUGCAACGAAGAACAGCUCGACUACAGCGGAUGAUCCUCCUGACUAUUCAUCGUUGUUUGCGAUAUGUGAGGAGACUCCUCCGAGCUACGAAUGCGCUCUAGCGACGCAAAAGAUGACGACUCUCGACGACAGCGAUCGCACUCAGUGAACGUGCACUGCUGGCCUCACAUAGGCACGAAAACGCUGGCACCCUCCAAAUGUGACUGUGGCAUACUAAGAUAGCAUCAUGCGUAUGUGUACGUCCUUUCCGUUUUCGAUGACUGCGUAAAAGUGCAAGAAAUGGGCAUCUGAAAGGUGGCCCUGGGCCAGGCCUGAGGUCAUACAUCUCCAAGUCCUACGGUUUUUGAUGCGAUUUCUUACAGGCAACAAGUUUGUGAAUUUACUCUGACCAUGAACGUCAUUUUGGGGGUCCCCGUGUCUAUCGCGUGUUUCGUUCCUUUUACUUACUCUCUUUUCUCUCCCAGUUGCGAGAACUGUUUUAUUCUUUCUUCUACCAAGCGAAAUAUGACGCGUGUGCAAAACGAAAGAAAAAAAAGUAUCGGUUGUGUGCCCUAUGCAUCUUUGUCUGAGCAAUCCACUCGGUACGAAAUACUUGAUGUGCGAUGUCAACGCAUCCAUGUGUCGUGAAACUCUUUCUUUUUCUUUUUUUUUUUUUUCUGUAAAUCUCUUUACCUUAUCGAUAGGAACGGUACUAGCAACCUGAUCAGAAACGCGCGUGUUUACAUACAAUCAUGUCAGGAAAUGUAAUAGUGAGGUUUAGUGGAUCGUACGCUAUCGCCUUUGCGUACGUGAGGGAUAGCGUGCUGGUUUAGCGUACUAUGCACUAAAACUCUCCAGUAUAUUCUUUCAGGUUUAACCGUUCUAACUUUUUCUUCCUUUUCUUUUCUUUUUUUUCACUACAGGAGCAAAAGCGCUAAAGGAAAUGCAAUGAAAACGGAACGGAACUCCGUGUUGCUGAGAAAUAGCGAAGCAUGGGUUCUUAGCCUGGAUUGGCGCAUUCUUUGGGCGUCUGAAUGUGGAAACUACAGUGCAUUGUCUGAUCGGGACAUAGUUUACGAAUGUCGGACUCACAUUCACGUGGAUUGGUUCAUAGCAAGAAGCGGCAAUCCGUGCACAGUGUUUGCUACAACCACGUUCCAGUCCAUAAGCUCUAAGAGAACAGAGGCUAUCACCUUGCCUAUCAAACAUCACAACUCCAUGACUUCAUCAAUAUAAGAAGGACUCAGUCCAAUUGCAGUCAUUGGUGCGGGCGCAGGGCUUUUGCAGACCACUACUACUUCACUGUAGCUGACACCUUUGCAAGUUGUCGGCGCUUCACUCAAAAGAUCAUCUACAUCAUCUACCAAGAAAAGAUAAUAUGGUUAUGGCUUAGUGUCUUCCCUAUGCUCUUUAUAUCCAAACAUUGUCCCUCAUGGCUCUCAUGGAUGUUGAUAGCGUGCCGGGUCAAACCUAGGCACAUUACCUCGAAGUACAUAUACACUGUUUCCUGAAUUACAGCUCGUUUGUAUACGUAAGCUCAUACUUCUCCAAAUGCUAAGCAGCUCUGUAUUUCCCUAAGAAUUGGAACUACACCAGUAAAGAUGGCACUCUAAAUCUUUUCGCACCCCUUAAGAUGUAAACUGGGUGUAAAAUGGUUGUACACAGGAGUAAUACACCCUUUGUGCACCCCAAAAAUCACAAAAAUCUGUUUGAGAGCUCUUGAGGGUGUAAGAAUGGUGUAUUACACAAUUUUCUGGAAAAUCUCGGUGAGGGUGUGAUACAGGGUGUAUUCUAGGGUGUGUUUGAAUCUCGAACAUACAUUUACUUUGUUCACUGAAAGGAGAUCGAAUACUGCAGACAUGACAGGGGAACAUUAUAAAGGAGCGCAUUACAUAACAACAACAACAAUUGACGAUGAAGCGGGCAGGUUUUCCACAUUACAUAAAAUUACUUACGAAACACUAGAAGAACGCACGACAUGACGAAAUAAUAAACACAUGGUAUGAUUAACA
Long non-coding RNA from Ornithodoros turicata, 2258 nucleotides. RefSeq lists it as uncharacterized. NCBI's taxonomy places the organism in Eukaryota, Metazoa, Arthropoda, Arachnida, Ixodida, Argasidae. The transcript is spliced from 3 exons. The record is from RefSeq and is a predicted model, not a curated record.